UAAAUAAGUAAAUUAAAUUAGUAAAUUAAAUAAAGAAAAAUGACAUAGAUUUACAAGCAAAAGUAGCAUCCAAGUUAUAAUUCACAGGUCAUACAAACUUAAUACAUAAAUAAAACGCAGCUAGUCUUUUACACUAAUAUUUAACUUUCUAAGCACCAUAGCAAGUUGGCUAUUCAUCUAUUCCAUCUGCUUUCUCCUCCUUGGACACUGCCUUCCAAGUGAAUCCAUCAGGAUCCCGCCUCUCGGAUAUAGAAUCUGUGAUAACUCGCGAGCAUCUACCUGAAGGCUCUAACAUGAAAAUAAUAAUUAAAUUAUAUUAAAUAAUUGCAUUAGACACUCAUUUGACACCUCUGAGUGUAACACGGAUAUAAGCGGGCAAAGGGACUGAGCAAGCAACCACAACAAGGCACUGAACAGCUUUAUUGACAGCAGCAUGUAUGGAAAUAAAAGUCCAACUAUUCAAGAAUAAGCAAAUAUAAGAAACUAAUAAACUUUCUCCUGCUUCUUAAAAUUGAAAAGACAAGUAAGCAAUAAAGAAUGAUCACAAGGCAUGUGAAAAUUCUGCAAGUAUAUGAUCACAGCAGUAAACAUUAAUAUAACAAAUCAGUAAACUCUCCUCUAAUUCUGAUUAAUACUUCUGUCUGGUGGGAUUGGGGCAGAGCGACAUGGCAAUUCCCCUAAUGGCAGCAGCUACUACAAGGCAGUUUAUAUUGAUGAUCCAAUAAAAUACGACCAUUAAAACCAAAACAAUAUUUUGGAUUAUCAAUAAACUCUCCUCUAAUUUUGAAUCAGUCAUCUGUACACACUAAUUUCUCGCAAGAAUUCAAUUAUCAAGGUGGUGUUUAGUAAUAAUUUAAUAAGACAUUAUAUAUGAACUUAUAUUCUGAGACUAUAGAACACUUGUAACUUUUUUUAAAUUAUAAAUGAAAUAGCUUGUCUGUAAAUUUCUGGAUCCACCGAGUGCAGACAGAUGUUGAAUGAGAACGUAUAAAGACUGCCUAAGCAGCCCCAAAUGUGUCAGUAGCACUAGCUGCAAAAAUAAUAUUAAAUUUAUAGUGUAUAUAUCAACGGAUAUAUAUAUUUCUGGAGAAUAUCACGACCAAAUCUCAUUAAACAUGUUAAUCAGAGCAUCCAACAUAAAGUAAUUGCAGCAUAGCAAUCAGUGCAGUGGAUAACGGUUUGAUUUCUGGCUGUAAGUGGAUCUUUAAUAGAAGUUGUAAUAUAUGCAUACCUCAAGAUCUUCUCUCUGCUACUUAUGCUUUUUAAACUCUAUGAUCUUUGUGAUAUAUCACCAACCCAUACUCUUCUUCUUUCAUGCCAAGCUACCUCAUCU
RNAcentral lists this long non-coding RNA (1333 nucleotides) under Daucus carota (carrot). Its description in RNAcentral is "long non-coding RNA (DCAR_LNC007435)". The record is from RNAcentral. Lineage: Eukaryota; Viridiplantae; Streptophyta; Magnoliopsida; Apiales; Apiaceae.